This 424-nucleotide ribosomal RNA is filed under the name Verrucomicrobiota bacterium. RNAcentral's name for it is "Verrucomicrobia bacterium partial 16S ribosomal RNA". It matches the Rfam family "Bacterial small subunit ribosomal RNA", at positions 355 to 776 of the family's 1533-position model. Lineage: Bacteria; Pseudomonadati; Verrucomicrobiota. The record is from RNAcentral.
UGAGGAAUAUUGGUCAAUGGACGCAAGUCUGAACCAGCCAAGUAGCGUGCAGGAUGACGGCCCUAUGGGUUGUAAACUGCUUUUAUAUGGGGAUAAAGUGGGGAACGUGUUCCCUUUUGCAGGUACCAUACGAAUAAGGACCGGCUAAUUCCGUGCCAGCAGCCGCGGUAAUACGGAAGGUCCAGGCGUUAUCCGGAUUUAUUGGGUUUAAAGGGAGCGUAGGCUGUUUGUUAAGCGUGUUGUGAAAUGUAGGAGCUCAACUUUUAGAUUGCAGCGCGAACUGGCAGACUUGAGUGCGCACAACGUAGGCGGAAUUCAUGGUGUAGCGGUGAAAUGCUUAGAUAUCAUGACGAACUCCGAUUGCGAAGGCAGCUUACGGGAGCGCAACUGACGCUAAAGCUCGAAGGUGCGGGUAUCGAACAGG